RNAcentral lists this ribosomal RNA (253 nucleotides) under uncultured bacterium. RNAcentral's name for it is "partial 16S ribosomal RNA". It matches the Rfam family "Bacterial small subunit ribosomal RNA", at positions 524 to 776 of the family's 1533-position model. The record is from RNAcentral.
UACGAAGGGGGCUAGCGUUGUUCGGAAUUACUGGGCGUAAAGCGUGCGCAGGCGGCUUCUCAAGUCAGGGGUGAAAGCCCAGAGCUCAACUCUGGAAUUGCCUUUGAGACUGAGUGGCUUGAGUACGGGAGAGGUGAGUGGAAUUCCCAGUGUAGAGGUGAAAUUCGUAGAUAUUGGGAAGAACACCGGUGGCGAAGGCGGCUCACUGGCCCGUAACUGACGCUCAUGCACGACAGCGUGGGGAUUAAACAGG